AAUACUGCCCCCUCCUUUCUCCUUUCUCCUUCUCCUGAUUCCUACACUCUGCACUCUCUCUCUCUCUAGCAAAACACUCCGCACGCCCCUCUUCCCUCCUGCCGCUGCACCUCUUCCUCCUCCUCCUUUUCCUUUCUCUCCGUCGGUCUCAGCGUCACACCGUCGUCGCCUUCCAGGUACCAGUUUCGGGGUGAGAGAUUGGCUUCUAGUGAUCAUGUCUUCCUAGCGGCGGGAGGCAUCGCGAGUACGCGACGGAAGAGACGGCAGAGACUGGUGGUGAUGAGGAGGUCUGUUGGGAACCGGCAGAGGAAGGAGAGGCGGGUUUUGAUGCUGCUGCCUCUGCGCUUAUGGAGAGUUUCUGAAUUCUCCUGCAAACUUGGUUUGGAAGAACGGAGAGUUGAGAGCUCAAUGGGUUUGCAAAAGGAGAAUGAAGAUAUUAUCCACAAUUGAAGGUGUUUUAGCUGCAAGUCAGUGGUAGACAAAAUGCAUAGGGUAGACUUUUUGGUUAGCACCUCAAUAUGUCUAGAGGUGUCCAAUUGCUGUUUAAGUUGAGAUGAGACACCAUAAGGGUAUUCGACUUGUUAGCGUCUAGGAUGUUUAUGUUAUUUUUGAGACUUCACUUGGUGUGUGUAUUCAACUUAUAUGAUUAAAUUCUUGAUUAAUGAAAAUGUGAUUAACUAAAGUAUUACAUUA
Molecule: long non-coding RNA, 693 nt
Organism: Malus domestica (apple)
Lineage: Eukaryota; Viridiplantae; Streptophyta; Magnoliopsida; Rosales; Rosaceae
Source: RefSeq, a predicted model, not a curated record